Molecule: long non-coding RNA, 159 nt
Organism: Entelurus aequoreus (snake pipefish)
Lineage: Eukaryota; Metazoa; Chordata; Actinopteri; Syngnathiformes; Syngnathidae
Exons: 3
Source: RefSeq, a predicted model, not a curated record
UGAGGCAGGCGAAGGUGAACGUUAUUUGCUGCCGCCCGCAACACCGCUGAUGUAUCCGGGAUUGCCAUCUCCGGAUCCGGAAACAAGUGGAUCAGCUCUUACAUAAUGAGCACACCACAUCAUGGAGCACACCACAUCAUGGGGCACACCACAUCAUGG